Molecule: microRNA precursor, 192 nt
Filed under: Oryza sativa Japonica Group (Japanese rice)
Lineage: Eukaryota; Viridiplantae; Streptophyta; Magnoliopsida; Poales; Poaceae
Description: MIR812 microRNA precursor family
Rfam family: MIR812 microRNA precursor family
Source: Rfam by way of RNAcentral
AAAAAGACAAACCCUGGUUUCCGUAUCCAACGUUUGACCAUCCGUUUUAUUUAAAAAAAUUAAAAAGAUAAGUCACGCAUAAAAUAUUAAUCAUGUUUUAUCAUAUAACAGCAAUAAAAAUACUAAUUAUAAAAAAAAUCAUAUAAGACGGACAGUCAAACGUUGGCACGGAAACUCAGGGUUUGCUUUUUU